UUGGAGGACUACUUCGCAGUUUGUGCUCUUUAAGGGUUGCCAAAUCCACUUAUUAAAAGUGAUGCUUUAUAAGCGUCUUUGGGUUUGUUGUUUGGGCACAGCUCAUAAAGCGAUCCAGUUUAUGAUAAUAAUAUUUAAGUAAAUAAAGUAUGCACAUGCAGGUCACGAUAUUUUGGCAUGUAGCUUAUUUCCAUGAUAAAGCAUUCAUGUUUAUUAUGGGCUUGUUCCUAUUUGCUGUUUUUUCUAGCAAGAUCUGGCAACACUAAUGAGUCUUGAAGACGUACCUCGUUCACAGCGAUUUCUUGCACUGCGCAUACAGAAGAGAGACACGACUCUGAUAAGCAUUUAAAAACAAGUUGUUCAGUUUGCUACCAUACACACUGCGUAGAAUUUCUGUAAAUGCAGUUGUCACUACCUGAAUUUUCCACGAGUCAGUUAUUUUGUAAAAUGCACUUGUCACUCCCAUAAAAUAACUGAACUGUGUGUGUACGGAACAGGAUUAAGCAUCAAAAGAUGAACUGACAACCAGAUUUAGCCACAGCAGUGUACGUUUUUAUUUUUAAAUUUCAGGUUGUAUCGACAAACAAGCGGCAGCUAUAUCAAUGAGUCAUGUUAAAUUUAGAGCAUUUGCAUGUUAACCGUUUCCUCUUUCAUGUCAGCAUCAAUUUAGAGACUAACAAUAUGAACUUCCUAUCAUAUCUGAAAUGAAACUCUUGCUUCUGCAUUCUUAUCUAAUCCACAGCAACAGUGCUGAUGAUUCAGUUCUGCUGUGCUGGAACUGAUGUCAGAUGAAGCAGUGAAUAGAAGAAUGAACGCUCUGAUGAUUUUACAUGUCGGGCAUGAACCCAACUUCAACCUCCAACCUUCCUUCACCGGAUGGAUUUUUCAUAACCUAACCUCCUCUUUUUUGUAUUUUCACUUCUAUUCAGAAUCCACCCUAGUCAUUGCACUGUGUGGCAAAUGUAAAUAUGCCAGUAUAUUCUCCACCGGUGCUGACCAGAGUUCAGAGAGGAAAGGGAGGGGGAAAAGUGAAAAGACUGACAAAGGGAUCUGAAGCCCAACUCCUCCAUCUGAUCUGGCAGAGUCAGGUCAAUUUUAUGCUGAUUUUAUGGGUGAGAGGAUGGGAACCACUGCCAGGGAGAGGAAGAGGAACACAAGGGACAGAGAGGGAAAGAUAACAGAAAGAAGAGAUACGGACAGAGACAGAGAGAAUGAUGGGUAGCUGACAAUAACAUCUUUAAAUGUAUGGCAGUGUAUAUUUCAAAUGCUGUGACUGCUUAUUUAUUUUAUCUUUUUCUAAAUCACUUGUAAGCUUCAAUAAAAUGUGAUUCAUCAAAACA
Molecule: long non-coding RNA, 1340 nt
Organism: Cyprinus carpio (common carp)
Lineage: Eukaryota; Metazoa; Chordata; Actinopteri; Cypriniformes; Cyprinidae
Source: Ensembl